CGGGGAAAAAUUUAUUGCUAUUAGAUGAGCCUAUAUUAGAUUAGCUAGUUGGUGGAGUAAUAGCCUACCAAGGCAAUGAUCUAUAGCUGAUCUGAGAGGAUGAUCAGCCACACUGGAACUGAGAUACGGUCCAGACUUCUACGGGAGGCAGCAGUGGGGAAUAUUGGACAAUGGGCGAAAGCCUGAUCCAGCCAUGUCGCAUGAGUGAAGAAGGCCUUUGGGUUGUAAAGCUCUUUUAGUGAGGAAGAUAAUGACGGUACUCACAGAAGAAGUCCUGGCUAACUCCGUGCCAGCAGCCGCGGUAAUACGGAGAGGGCUAGCGUUAUUCGGAAUUAUUGGGCGUAAAGGGCGCGUAGGCUGAUUAAUAAGUUAAAAGUGAAAUCCCGAGGCUUAACCUUGGAAUUGCUUUUAAAACUAUUAAUCUAGAGAUUGAAAAGGGAUAGAGGAAUUCCUGAUGUAGAGGUAAAAUUCGUAAAUAUUAGGAGGAACACCAGUGGCGAAGGCAUCUAUCUGGUUCAAAUCCGACGCUGAGGCGCGAAGGCGUGGGGAGCAAACAGGAUUAGAUACCCUGGUAGUCCACGCUGUAAACGAUGAAUGUUAAAUAUGGG
This 608-nucleotide ribosomal RNA is filed under the name uncultured Wolbachia sp. Its description in RNAcentral is "bacterial SSU rRNA". It matches the Rfam family "Bacterial small subunit ribosomal RNA", at positions 198 to 826 of the family's 1533-position model. Lineage: Bacteria; Pseudomonadati; Pseudomonadota; Alphaproteobacteria; Rickettsiales; Anaplasmataceae. The record is from RNAcentral.